GUCUUACAAACUCCCGUGACGUGAGCCUGGGCUGUGUUACAUCACUAGGAACACCUGUAGCGGCCACGUGAGAGACUUGGGCUGGUUCCAUGAGAUGGAAAUUUCCUUUCAUUGCAGACAGCGGUGAUGGCAGUGAGCAGCAUCAGCUCCUUUUUGUGAGCAGCUCCCACGCCGGCUUCAUGCAGGAGUUAGCUGAGGACAUUCCCUUGAAUGGACGGCAUCUGGGCUGUGCCUGUACCCUCACGGGGAAGGAAUUCGGGGUGGAGCCUGGAGAAACAAUCCCAGCUUCGUAGUGGUGAUUAAAACGGCCGUUAGAUUACAGCACCGGAUCAGGAUGGAUUUAGGCCAACUCAGCAAGGAACUGUGGAGAGGCUCAGAGGCUGCAGAUGCCGAUAUAGCACAACCAUCCGCUUCCUCCCCCAUCCCCACUAUAGUCUAACGUUGAUUUCUA
RNAcentral lists this long non-coding RNA (451 nucleotides) under Gallus gallus (chicken). RNAcentral describes it as "long non-coding RNA NONGGAT000045". The record is from RNAcentral. Lineage: Eukaryota; Metazoa; Chordata; Aves; Galliformes; Phasianidae.